This 490-nucleotide ribosomal RNA is filed under the name uncultured bacterium. RNAcentral's name for it is "partial 16S ribosomal RNA". It matches the Rfam family "Bacterial small subunit ribosomal RNA", at positions 30 to 507 of the family's 1533-position model. The record is from RNAcentral.
AUUGAACGCUGGCGGCAGGCCUAACACAUGCAAGUCGAACGGUAACAGGAAGCAUCUUGCUGCUUUGCUGACGAGUGGCGGACGGGUGAGUAAUGUCUGGGAAACUGCCCGAUGGAGGGGGGUAACUACUGGAAACGGUACCUAAUACCGCAUAACGUCGCAAGACCAAAGAGGGGGACCUUAGGGCCUCUUGCCAUCGGAUGUGCCCAGAUGGGAUUAGCUAGUAGUUGGGGUAACGGCUCACCUAGGCGACGAUCCCUAGCUGGUCUGAGAGGAUGACCAGCCACACUGGAACUGAGACACGGUCCAGACUCCUACGGGAGGAAGCAGUGGGGAAUAUUGCACAAUGGGCGAAAGCCUGAUGCAGGCAUGCCGCGUGUAUGAAGAAGGCCUUAGGGUUGUAAAGUACUUUCAGCGGGGAGGAAGGGAGUAAAGUUAAUACCUGUGCUCAUUGACGUUACCAGCAGAAGAAGCACCGGCUAACUCCGUG